This 459-nucleotide ribosomal RNA is filed under the name uncultured Desulfobulbus sp. RNAcentral describes it as "bacterial SSU rRNA". It matches the Rfam family "Bacterial small subunit ribosomal RNA", at positions 927 to 1382 of the family's 1533-position model. Lineage: Bacteria; Pseudomonadati; Thermodesulfobacteriota; Desulfobulbia; Desulfobulbales; Desulfobulbaceae. The record is from RNAcentral.
AAGCGGUGGAGUAUGUGGUUUAAUUCGAUGCAACGCGAAGAACCUACCUGGUCUUGACAUCCCGGAGACCCUUAGGAAACUAGGGGUGCUUCCAUCUGGAAGAAUCUGGAGACAGGUGCUGCAUGGCUGUCGUCAGCUCGUGUCGUGAGAUGUUGGGUUAAGUCCCGCAACGAGCGCAACCCUUGCCUUUAGUUGCCAGCAGUUCGGCUGGGCACUCUAAAGGGACUGCCGGUGUUAAACCGGAGGAAGGUGGGGAUGACGUCAAGUCCUCAUGGCCUUUAUGACCAGGGCUACACACGUACUACAAUGGCCGAUACAAAGGGCAGCGACACUGCGAGGUGAAGCCAAUCCCGUAAAAUCGGUCUCAGUCCGGAUUGGAGUCUGCAACUCGACUCCAUGAAGUUGGAAUCGCUAGUAAUCGUGGAUCAGCAUGCCACGGUGAAUACGUUCCCGGGCCUU